Molecule: transfer RNA, 70 nt
Filed under: Toxocara canis (dog roundworm)
Lineage: Eukaryota; Metazoa; Nematoda; Chromadorea; Rhabditida; Toxocaridae
Rfam family: tRNA
About the family: Transfer RNA (tRNA) molecules are approximately 80 nucleotides in length.
Source: Rfam by way of RNAcentral
GCAGUAUUAGCUCUAUGGUAGAGCUCCCGCUUCGUAUGCGGGGAAGAGCUGGGUUCGAUUCCCGGCUGCU